ACAGUGUAGGGGCUGGGAUGAGUGGAUGAGGGAAAUCCGACUCCUCUCAGAUAUCCACAGGCAGGACAAGGUGGCCAAGGCCGAGCUGAUGGACAGCAUGGCGGGAGGCCUGGGGCAGAGGCAGGGAGGGCCGCUUUGGGGUGCUCACUGGUGCUCCAGGAGGGCUUUAUCCUGCAUCUUCACUCCAUCCAGGCCCAGCUUACCUACAACCCGGGGGAGUGGGGGUAGGAGGGUGUUAGAUGUGUAGCUUGAAAACGACAAUAAAAAGGACUGCUGGGAUCGGGUG
This is a long non-coding RNA of Homo sapiens (human), 286 nucleotides long. The record is from Ensembl. NCBI's taxonomy places the organism in Eukaryota, Metazoa, Chordata, Mammalia, Primates, Hominidae.